Molecule: ribosomal RNA, 449 nt
Filed under: uncultured bacterium
Lineage: Bacteria
Description: partial 16S ribosomal RNA
Rfam family: Bacterial small subunit ribosomal RNA
Source: RNAcentral
AACGAACGCUGGCGGCAUGCCUAACACAUGCAAGUCGAACGAAGCCUUCGGGCUUAGUGGCGCACGGGUGCGUAACGCGUGGGAAUCUGCCCUUGGGUUCGGAAUAACAGUUAGAAAUGACUGCUAAUACCGGAUGAUGUCUUCGGACCAAAGAUUUAUCGCCCAAGGAUGAGCCCGGGUCGGAUUAGGUAGUUGGUGGGGUAAUGGCCCACCAAGCCGACGAUCCUUAGCUGGUCUGAGAGGAUGAUCAGCCACACUGGGACUGAGACACGGCCCAGACUCCUACGGGAGGCAGCAGUGGGGAAUAUUGGACAAUGGGCGAAAGCCUGAUCCAGCAAUGCCGCGUGAGUGAUGAAGGCCUUAGGGUUGUAAAGCUCUUUUACCAUGGAUGAUAAUGACAGUACCUGGAGAAUAAGCUCCGGCUAACUCCGUGCCAGCCGCCGCCGUAA